CCUACGGGUGGCAGCAGUGAGGAAUAUUGGUCAAUGGGCGCGAGCCUGAACCAGCCAAGUAGCGUGAAGGAUGACUGCCCUACGGGUUGUAAACUUCUUUUAUAAAGGAAUAAAGUGAGGCACGUGUGCCGUUUUGUAUGUACGUUAUGAAUAAGGAUCGGCUAACUCCGUGCCAGCAGCCGCGGUAAUACGGAGGAUCCGAGCGUUAUCCGGAUUUAUUGGGUUUAAAGGGAGCGUAGAUGGGUUGUUAAGUCAGUUGUGAAAGUUUGCGGCUCAACCGUAAAAUUGCAAUUGAUACUGGCAGCCUUGAGUACAGUUGCGGUAGGCGGAAUUCGUGGUGUAGCGGUUACAUGCUUCUCUCUCAC
Molecule: ribosomal RNA, 365 nt
Filed under: uncultured bacterium
Lineage: Bacteria
Description: partial 16S ribosomal RNA
Rfam family: Bacterial small subunit ribosomal RNA
Source: RNAcentral